UGGGGAAUCUUGGACAAUGGGGGCAACCCUGAUCCAGCCAUGCCGCGUGAGUGAUGAAGGCCUUAGGGUCGUAAAGCUCUUCGCCUGUGAAGAUAAUGACGGUAGCAGGUAAAGAAACCCCGGCUAACUCCGUGCCAGCAGCCGCGGUAAUACGGAGGGGGUUAGCGUUGUUCGGGAAUUACUGGGCGUAAAGCGCACGUAGGCGGAUCGGAAAGUUGGGGGUGAAAUCCCGGGGGCUCAACCCCGGAACUGCCUCCAAAACUAUCGGUCUAGAGUUCGAGAGAGGUGAGUGGAAUUCCGAGUGUAGAGGUGAAAUUCGUAGAUAUUCGGAGGAACACCAGUGGCGAAGGCGGCUCACUGGCUCGAUACUGACGCUGAGGUGCGAAAGUGUGGGGAGCAAAACAGGAUUAGAUACCCUGGUAGUCCACACCGUAAAACGAUGAAUGCCAGUCGUCGGAUAGCAUGCUAUUCGGUGACACACCU
RNAcentral lists this ribosomal RNA (483 nucleotides) under uncultured bacterium. RNAcentral describes it as "bacterial SSU rRNA". It matches the Rfam family "Bacterial small subunit ribosomal RNA", at positions 355 to 853 of the family's 1533-position model. The record is from RNAcentral.